CGUUAGUCAGUUUCUUGGUGUUAGGGAGCGGGUGGAGGCUGCGUGGUGUACGAUGUGAGGCUUUUUAGCAGUAUUAAUCUUACUCUUGGGGGAACAGUGUUCCGAAAAAGGACAAAGUUUCAGUCGCGGACUAUCGGCGGUAUCGAGCGGAGAGUCUCAGUGAGGGGACGGGCGGCACCGGCUCUUGCACAAAUACCGAGUGUCUAUGAUGCUCGAAUUGACAAGACGAGUUUCUGUAGACUCCCAGACCCAGUCUGUUCUCUAGCUUUAACCCAUCCGUGUAACAUGAUCUUCCAGAUGACAAUGCAAAGGUUCCCUCAAUCCAACACUGUGCUGCAGUGCCUCGCAAUCGACCUCAAGUGUCGUCUCAGCUAUCCGAUUAGAAACUUCUUCCAUUCCUUCUAGGUUUCCUAUCGUCACCUCGAUUAUACCGCGAUGGUAAGUCCUGCUCUUAUCCUCUAUCCAUUCUUCCAUCGCCUUAAGUCUCAUGGGAGAAUGGAGAGAGGAUAGGAGCAGUCAUACCAUCGUGGUUUAAUUAAGUCGACAAUUGGAAACUUCGAAGGAAUGGAAGAGAUUUUCGAUCGAAUUUUCUGCAAAGACA
This is a long non-coding RNA of Stomoxys calcitrans (stable fly), 601 nucleotides long. RefSeq lists it as uncharacterized. The transcript has 3 exons. The record is from RefSeq and is a predicted model, not a curated record. NCBI's taxonomy places the organism in Eukaryota, Metazoa, Arthropoda, Insecta, Diptera, Muscidae.